Molecule: long non-coding RNA, 412 nt
Filed under: Sorghum bicolor (sorghum)
Lineage: Eukaryota; Viridiplantae; Streptophyta; Magnoliopsida; Poales; Poaceae
Description: long non-coding RNA (SBIC_LNC007455)
Source: RNAcentral
AAGGGUUGGGUAUUAAAAAGAACUUGACAACUAAAUGGCUUUAAAUUUUUUUUGACAACCAAAUGGCUCAUAUUCGGGCCUUGUUUAGUUCACCCUAAAAACAAAAACUUUUCAAGAUUUUUUGUCACAUCAAAUCUUGCGGCACAUGUAUGAGUAUUAAAUAUAGAUGAAAAACAAAAACUAAUUAUACAGUUUGCCUGUAAAUCAUGAGACGAAUCUUUUAAAUCUAGUUACACCAUGAUUGGACAAUAUUUGUCAAAAUGAAAAUGCUACAGUGUCAAAAUCCAAAAAAAAAAUUGGAUCUAAACAAGGCCUCGACAUGUAUAGUGUCAUAUAUGAUAUAUAUUGUAUAUAGUUCAUGCUACCGAUGGAGUUUGAGAAUAUUUUUACGUAAUUCACCUUUGCACGAGUG